Long non-coding RNA from Symphalangus syndactylus (siamang), 591 nucleotides. RefSeq lists it as uncharacterized. NCBI's taxonomy places the organism in Eukaryota, Metazoa, Chordata, Mammalia, Primates, Hylobatidae. The record is from RefSeq and is a predicted model, not a curated record.
ACAAGAAAUAUUUUGGAGAAGUUAGAUAGGGCAGAGGCAGAAGUAGACGCAAUUUAACAUGAAGGAUUGUGAAGGCAAAAGAUGAACCAGCCAGCCUAGUCUCUGGAUGCGUGAGCUCCAAGUGUGGAGGAGACCCGGAGAGAAAAGCAGACUGUUCUCUGUGUUUACCUGUAAGCACAGGCCGCGACCUGCCAUGCUGUUUUUAAAUGCCCAAGGGCUGGUGACAAGAGGGUUUCCCUUUGCCGUCUGGACCUGAUUGUCUUAGAGAGUCUCACUCUGCUGUCCAGGCUGGAGUGCAGUGGCGUGAUCUCGGCUCACCGCAAUCUCUACCUCCUGAUCAAGCGAUUCUUGUGCCUCAGCCUCCUGAGUAGCCAUGAUUACAGGCGCGUGCUACCACAACCAGCUAAUUUUUUUUUUUUUUUCUCUUUUGAGACAAGUUUUGCUCUUGUUGCCCAGGCUGGAGUGCAAUGACACAAUCUCGGCUCGCUGCAACCUCCGCCUCCCGGCUUCAAGUGGUUCUCCUGCCUCAGCCUCCCAAGUAGCUGGGAUUACAGGCAUGUGCCACCACGCCCAGCUAAUUUUUUGUUUUUA